CCUUUGACGUUAGCGGCGGACGGGUGAGUAACACGUGGGUAACCUACCUAUAAGACUGGGAUAACUUCGGGAAACCGGAGCUAUACCGGAUAAUAUUUCGAACCGCAUGGUUCGAUAGUGAAAGAUGGUUUUGCUAUCACUUAUAGAUGGACCCGCGCCGUAUUAGCUAGUUGGUAAGGUAACGGCUUACCAAGGCGACGAUACGUAGCCGACCUGAGAGGGNGAUCGGCCACACUGGAACUGAGACACGGUCCAGACUCCUACGGGAGGCAGCAGC
RNAcentral lists this ribosomal RNA (277 nucleotides) under uncultured Staphylococcus sp. RNAcentral's name for it is "partial 16S ribosomal RNA". It matches the Rfam family "Bacterial small subunit ribosomal RNA", at positions 83 to 355 of the family's 1533-position model. Lineage: Bacteria; Bacillati; Bacillota; Bacilli; Caryophanales; Staphylococcaceae. The record is from RNAcentral.